AUCUUAAGUACGUGUGCACUUGUUUGUACUUUCGGCCCAAUGACCAAACAUUUCACUAACCACGCGCCACCUUCAACGCGUGGGUAACAUCCACAAAGACCAUCACAAAUGUCAACAUUCCGGUCAACUCAAAAUCUGGACCGUCGAUCUCUCACCUCCUUCGCGAUGACAAAAUCCUAACCCUCCAUUCCGUCGUGGCCACCACGCGACUCGCAUAUCGCACUAUUCUUCUCCGAUAUUAAGAAAAAAAAAAAAAACAAAGAGCGAUUUUUGCAGUAAACAAAAAAAAAAAAUUGAAGUGAGAGAAAGCAGCUUUGAUUUAUAGAGAGAGAAAGUUACUGUGUGUGUGUGUGUGUGUGUGAAGAUCUACUAAAGUUAGGGUUUUGUUGUCGAAUGUAUGACUUCGGGGACAAUGAUGAACGGUGAAAAUCGAGGAUCGAAAGAGCUGCAGAAAAUGCCUGAAAGCAAAGUCUACAGACGGAAGUCAUUCAAAGGGUUGAAUAACGUAGGUGAUGUGUUACAACAUCCACAUUCUCAAAUCCUAGGUCUGGAAGAUGCCAAUUUGUCUCAAAAGAUUGUUGGUUCAGAAGGUUCUUCGAGUCUGAACCGUUCUCUAAUAUUGGAGAAUAAUGGAAUAUUGGCAGGUAGUGGGCAAGAAAAUAGUGCUAGAAUCAAUUUAUCGUUCAAGUCCAAGCGGGAGAUGAGAGAGAUAAGAAGGAAGCUGCAGAGUGAGUUGGACUUGGUUCGGAGUUUGGUGAAGAAAAUCGAGGCAACGGAUGUACAGAAAACUGGCCCUGGAAUUGAUCAGGAUAGUGGGGCCCGACCGGUAUCUGUUGAGUCCAGGCCUUUGAAUCAGUUAAGUGUAUCAGUUGUGGAGAACAGCCAUGGUGUGGGUGAUAAUGUGGAGAAGGAGAAGAGGACACCAAAGGUAAACCAAUUUUAUAGGAAUAAAGAUUUUUUGUUAGCUAAGGAUAAGUUUCCCCCAGCUGAAAGCAACAAAAAGUCGAAAUCGAAAUCAAGUGCAAAGAAAGUGAGUGGGCCAGAAUCAGGACAUGCAAUACCGGGGAAGUUAUCAAAUCAAAUGCUAAAGAAUUGUCGUGCUUUGCUUGAAAGAUUGAUGAAGCACAAGCAUGGUUGGGUGUUUAACCAGCCUGUUGAUAUAAAGGCUCUUGGUUUACAUGACUAUUUUGACAUUAUUAAGAAUCCAAUGGAUCUGGGAACUGUGAAGUCCAGGCUGGAAACAAAUCGGUAUACGUCUCCUAAAGAAUUUGCUGAGGAUGUUAGACUUACAUUUCAAAAUGCUAUGACGUAUAAUCCGAAGGGCCAAGAUGUUCAUAUGAUGGCCGAUCAACUUAACAAGAUAUUUGAGGAGAAGUGGGCCCCUAUAGAGGCUGAUUAUAUGCGCGAAUUGAGAUUGUUAACGGACUCUGGAGGAAAAGUGGGCCCCAAGAGGACUUUAGACAGGUCAGAAUCAACGACCAAUCUCGUUGGUUCCAAGAUUAAAUCUGUCACUCUCCCCCAAUCUGGAAGGACCCCUGCCCCAAAGAAGCCGAAAGCAAAGGAUCCUAAUAAAAGGGAGAUGACAUAUGAUGAAAAGCAAAAGCUGAGCACAUGCCUACAGAAUUUACCUUCUGAAAAGCUUGAAAACGUUGUACAGAUAAUCAAAAAGAGGAAUUCAUCUCUAUGCCAACAGGAUGAUGAGAUUGAAGUGGAUAUUGACAGUGUUGAUACUGAGACCCUAUGGGAGCUUGACAGGUUUGUUACCAAUUACAAAAAGAGCUUGAGCAAGAACAAAAGAAAAAUUGAACUUGCAGAUCAAGAAAAAAGGGAAGUCGAGACGAAUGUUCAGGAGGAGAAUGCUAGCCCAGUUGUGGUAGAAAUUCCAAAAGAAAGCAAAGCAGCAGAAGAGAAAGGCACUUCCUCCACUCCUGCUCAUGUAGAAAAUCAGGGAAAAGAUGUUAGUCAGCCAAGCAGCUCUAACACUGACUCGGUGUCAUCAUCAAGUGAUUCUGAUAGCGAAAGCUCCGCAGGAGGUGGAUCCGAUGCCGAACAUUCACCAAAAAGUUGACUCUGCUGUCCAGAUAUAAUGUUCUCUCUUUUAAUGUCUUGUGGGGUUAUAUAGUCCUCUUUCACUGUGUUGCAUCUAAUGGCUUAGAGUUGAAAACAUAUUAAUACCUAUCCAGAGAGCGACCUUAAUACGAAUUCACAUGCAGCUUGAAGGCAAUGCAAUUAUAACAUGGUGUUGGUAACACAAAUGUUGGAAAUGUCACCUAUGUGAAAUUAUAGAGGUCUGAACAUCAUUGUUACAUAACAUGAUCGAUGAAAAUGAUUGGUGUUCAGGAGAGCUUCUAUGAUAUCCUUUUUGGACAUGAUUUUGAGCAGCCCAGCCCAGCCCAUAGUCUUGUUGCUCUACCAGGGUUGUUUGAUUUCAAAAGUAGCUGCAGAUGGUAGUUGCAUAUGCUGGCUGGUCUCAAAUUGUAUAAUAGUAGCACCUAGUUUGUAGCUUGUGUAUAUUUUGCUUAUGGAUUUCUGAAUGUGCAGUUUGAAGUCAUACUGUUCAGGUCACAUGGACCUGUACUCAGUGAUUGAAUCAAUUUAAUGUGGUUGAACCUUUUA
This is an RNA transcript of Lycium ferocissimum, 2616 nucleotides long. It is a transcript of the gene named transcription factor GTE4, with no coding region annotated. The transcript is spliced from 7 exons. Lineage: Eukaryota; Viridiplantae; Streptophyta; Magnoliopsida; Solanales; Solanaceae. The record is from RefSeq and is a predicted model, not a curated record.